Microcebus murinus (gray mouse lemur) is the source of this 290-nucleotide non-coding RNA. The record is from RefSeq and is a predicted model, not a curated record. Lineage: Eukaryota; Metazoa; Chordata; Mammalia; Primates; Cheirogaleidae.
AGCCCCUACCUACUUGCCAGUCCUCCAGGACCCUGGCCCAAGACGCGCCUCCUGGAGGCCUCGAGUGUCCCAAAGCCGGCCCCUUCGGCCAUGGGGAGCCCCAGCCUCCAGCAACCGACCAGCUGCUGUCGCCAGGGGGCAAUGGCAGCAGACUUUCAAUAUCUGUUCAAGAGCAAUGUCAAUUGUAACGAUCGGCUGAUUAUCUGGAAAUGGCAUUUAGACCUCGGCUUUAUUGUGCAUCCCCACACACACGUUGGUUUCUAAUUAGAUGUAUUGGUGACAAAGAAAAA